GCCCGCAAACAGAACCUCCUCGCCCGUUUCCAUUCUCCCGUCACAAAUCUUCUCGCGAGGUGGCCUGACGGAUGUCGCCGCCAUGAGCUGCCCCCCUCGCUUUCCCACCGCGCGCUCCUCUAUACUUCUGGUUUCCGCGCCAUCGACGCACGCGAGGAAGGAGCGCCGACCGCACCGAGCUCUCAUCCCUCCUAGUCCUAGCUACGCCCCGCCUCCUCGCAGAUCCGCCUCCUCCACAGGUUCUUCGGCAAACACUGUCGCGCAUGUUACAAAGGUGAUGGCCACUGUGCCCCGUGAUCUAGAAAAGACGCUGGAUGGAGCUAAUGGCCAUGCUGGAUGCGAAGUGUCGAGAAGUGCCCAGAAUUUGAUGACGAGGAAGUGAGGGCAAAUGCUGUUUGGAGCUUGGUUGUCAACAUGGAUGAAGUUGUACCUGGAGAGACCUUUUAUGUUCUGAAGAGCUGCUUUUGCUGGGAGAUGUAAUAGUUAGAUUACAGAAUCUUUGUCCUUAGGAAAGUAUUUGAAUGAGAAGUGUUAAGUUUGUAGGUCGUGUCGGAAGAAGGAAGGGAUUUUUUUGAAUUCCUGUACUGUAAUAAUGAUGUUGUAAAGUCUGAUGUUUCAUGUCAAAUGGAAUGGAACGGUGGUGAAACCGCCAUCUAGCUCUAAGAAAAAUACUACUUAUGUGUCAUGGAAAACUAUGUACACCCUCUGAUGCAUAAUAAGUGUCAUGGAUAGGAGGGAGUAGUAUAUGUGCAUUUUCUUGUUGUCCCAACUUAUUGCAGCAUUUUGAACCUGGAAGUUGUGAAGAAGGAACCAUUGGCAUGCUCUAUUUAUAAUGUACCAAGACCCAAAAAAAAUUACUGUCUAUAUAUCUGUUAACUAAUUUUGAGGCAAGUAUUUUCA
This is a long non-coding RNA of Lolium perenne, 900 nucleotides long. RefSeq lists it as uncharacterized. Lineage: Eukaryota; Viridiplantae; Streptophyta; Magnoliopsida; Poales; Poaceae. The record is from RefSeq and is a predicted model, not a curated record.